RNAcentral lists this long non-coding RNA (529 nucleotides) under Sus scrofa (pig). RNAcentral's name for it is "lncRNA (ENSSSCG00040075982.1)". The record is from RNAcentral. Lineage: Eukaryota; Metazoa; Chordata; Mammalia; Artiodactyla; Suidae.
UCUCUGCCGCCCAGUUACAAAAAGUGGCAACUUCCCCUCCGGCCCGCAGACUGAUCGCUCAUUUGAAUGCGUUUCCUUUUCAUUAAGAACAAAGGUUGGAGUCCGAGCCUCGCGGCGCGGCGGCCGGAAAGUACAAGAUGUGUGUCGAGAGCAAACACACACACACACACACACACAGAAUGACCCACGAGAAAGGGAAAGGGGAAAACACCAAUCCUGCGCUGGGCUUUUUCGACUUUUCCUUUAAAAAGAAAAAAGUUUUUCAAGCUGCGCGGGCUUCCUGUGCGCGGCUGAGCCGGGGCGCAGCGCGACGGUCCCAUCGGGCGGCCUCCACCCUCGGGACGCGAGCGGAGCGCCGAGCCCAGCGGCGAUCACGCGACGCGGGGAAGGAAGGAAGGGGACCAAAGCACGUUUAGUAAUGACUUCUGCUGCAUGGAUACUCGUGUGACUACCACUUCACUUUCAUAUAUCUCCUAAGACACAGCUGGACUCAGUGAAUUCAUUUCCUCUAUCGCCAGAGAGAGUCAGA